RNA transcript from Dunckerocampus dactyliophorus (ringed pipefish), 2066 nucleotides. It is a transcript of the gene named kynurenine 3-monooxygenase, with no coding region annotated. NCBI's taxonomy places the organism in Eukaryota, Metazoa, Chordata, Actinopteri, Syngnathiformes, Syngnathidae. The record is from RefSeq and is a predicted model, not a curated record. The transcript has 18 exons.
GGGUCAUUGAGAUGUCAAGAAGGAAACUUCCCUCGUUUAAUCAAAUAAUCAGCUAGCUAAAUCUGCAGAGCCAACCUUUCUGACGAAGAAGAUGGCGAAAAGAAACAACCAUGCAGCAUCACACGUCGCAUUCAUGCUCUGUCACUUUGGAGAGGACAGCCAGCGGGUGAGACAAUGGACAACUUGACUGACCGAGCGGAGAAGAAAAAAGUUGUGGCAGUGGUGGGUGGUGGAUUGGUUGGUGCACUGAAUGCCUGCUUCUUUGCCAAAAGAGGUUUUGAUGUGCAUGUUUUUGAAACACGGGAAGAUAUCCGGCAAGCAAAAACUGUCCGAGGGAGAAGCAUCAACCUGGCUUUAUCUCACAGAGGCCGACAGUCACUGAAGCAUGUUGGAAUGGAGGAGAAGAUUGUGUCCCAGGGAAUCCCCAUGCAUGCAAGAAUGAUCCAUUCAUUAAAUGGGGUACAAUCUCCAAUCCCAUAUGGCAAGAAGGGCCAGUACAUCCUGUCAGUGGACCGAGCCAAUCUGAACAAGGAGCUGCUAACAGAAGCUGAGAGAUAUGCAAACACAAAGUUGAACUUUGAGUACAAACUACAGGACUGGAGUGUUGAAACAGGGCUAAUGACCUUCAUAAAGCCAGAUGGGUCCAAGCAAGAGAUAGAAGCAGACCUCAUUGUAGGAUGUGAUGGAGCCUUUUCAGCUGUCCGCAAACAAUUCCUUCGUCAAAGCCGCUUCAACUACAGUCAGACUUACAUCCCUCACGGCUACAUGGAGCUCACCAUGCCGCCCAUCAAUGGAGAGUAUGCCAUGAAGCCCAAUUAUCUUCACAUCUGGCCCCGAAACACAUUCAUGAUGAUUGCGCUCCCCAACAUGGACAAGACUUUUACCUGCACUCUCUUCAUGCCCUUUGAAGAGUUUCAGAAGAUCACCAAAGGAGAUGAAGUCAUUGGUUUUUUCCAGAAAUACUUCCCUGAUGCCAUACCAUUAAUAGGAGUUGAUGCUCUCAAAAGGGAUUAUUUCCGCCUGCCUGCCCAGGCCAUGGUCUCCAUCAAGUGCUCCCCAUAUCACAUUGGAAACAAAUGUGUCCUUAUGGGUGACGCUGCGCAUGCAGUGGUGCCGUUCUACGGGCAGGGAAUGAAUGCUGGUUUCGAAGACUGCAUGGUUUUUGAUGAAGUAAUGGAGAAGUUCAAUGAGGAUUUCGGUGCUGUACUGCCUGAGUACACCAGAUUGCGAGUUCCAGAUGACCAUGCAAUCGCAGACCUGGCCAUGUACAACUACGUAGAAAUGCGAGCACAUGUCAACUCUAAAUGGUUCCUUUUCCGAAAACGUGUUGAUAACAUCCUCCACUUUCUUAUGCCACAGAAAAUAAUCCCACUUUACACAAUGGUUACAUUCACCAGGACACGGUAUCAUGAAGCUGUGGCACGCUGGCACUGGCAAGACAAAGUGAUAAAUCGUGGACUGUUUUUUGGUGCAGCAGGAGCAAUUUUGGGAGGCUCUUACCUUCUCAUUAAAAAUCCCCCAGACAUCAACAAGCUCUGCAUCACCAUUGAGAAAGUUUGGAACAAGCUCACACCAUUUGGGACCUCUUGAGUACUCGGCACCAUUUCUCUGACCUGAUUGCGGUGAUUACAACCUGACUUGCGCUGGCCUGGGAACGCCUUGGUGUCCUCCCCGUGGAACUGGAAGAGGUGGUCGGGGACCAGGAAGUCUGGACUUCCCUACUGAGACUGCUGAUAAGCGGAAGAAAAUGGAUGGAUUGAUGGAUGGAUGGUCUGAGCUGUACAGGAGGAUGAGAAGUUCAGUCUCUGGGGAUCACAGUGGCUUCACUUGAAUGACGUUAACAGAAGACUCGACGGCAUUGGAAGUCACAUCUAAGCGGUGCAAGUCAUCACUGGUGAUGAUGAAGACGAUGGAGGAGGAGUUGAAGGUCACCUUCUUCUUGGGUCGUUUUCUGCUGUUGCAUGAACUUGAAACAACGAUGGGUCGGAUGGGGCGCUCGACCGGCUCCAGGGGCCGCUCUUUGAAGCUGCGCUGCAGCCAAGACAACCUUGAACACAGCAGCUGCA